Molecule: transfer RNA, 72 nt
Filed under: Camelus bactrianus (Bactrian camel)
Lineage: Eukaryota; Metazoa; Chordata; Mammalia; Artiodactyla; Camelidae
Also listed under: 3 other names
Rfam family: tRNA
About the family: Transfer RNA (tRNA) molecules are approximately 80 nucleotides in length. Their secondary structure includes four short double-helical elements and three loops (D, anti-codon, and T loops). Further hydrogen bonds mediate the characteristic L-shaped molecular structure. tRNAs have two regions of fundamental functional importance: the anti-codon, which is responsible for specific mRNA codon recognition, and the 3' end, to which the tRNAs corresponding amino acid is attached (by aminoacyl-tRNA synthetases). tRNAs cope with the degeneracy of the genetic code in two manners: having more than one tRNA (with a specific anti-codon) for a particular amino acid; and 'wobble' base-pairing, i.e. permitting non-standard base-pairing at the 3rd anti-codon position.
Source: Rfam by way of RNAcentral
GAGGGAAUAGCUCAGUGGUAGAAUGUAUGCUUAGCAUGCACAAGGUCCUGGGUUCAAUCCCUAGUACCUCCA